GUUGUACAAUUUAUUAAAUCUAAUGUGUAGAGAUUGACUUGGUAGGUGAUAAAGAUAAAAAGAUUGAUUUUUAUGAUGUGUUAGUGGUUCAAGAGUACCCAGAUGUAUAUCCUGAUGAACUUCUAGGGUUAUCUUCGGAUCGUGAAAUAGAAUUCUAUAUUGAUCUACAACUAGACACUCAACCUAUCUCUAUAGCUCCUUAUAGACUAGUAAAAGUUGAAAUAUAAGAGUUAAAGAAACAACUAACAGAACUCUGAGAGAAAUGAUUCAUUCGCCC
This 277-nucleotide long non-coding RNA is filed under the name Carica papaya (papaya). RNAcentral describes it as "long non-coding RNA (CPAP_LNC004190)". The record is from RNAcentral. Lineage: Eukaryota; Viridiplantae; Streptophyta; Magnoliopsida; Brassicales; Caricaceae.